GGUGCUCACUAGAUGAUCUAAUCUUUUGUAAUGCAGCUCUGGCCAACAAGCAAUCCAGGAGGAUAUAUGAACUAUCAUCCACACAAUCUGGAUCGACAUAGUUGGAAGAUGAAUCGGUGCCUCGAGAGCUACCUUAAGAUGCAGGAUGUGCACACGGUCAUCUUCUUUCUUUUUUGCCCGACCCCAAGCAUCACUUAAGAGUUUCUUCUGUUACAAGUGUUUGUUUUCCACCAUAAUUAUGUGAGUUGAUUGGUCGGCAUUAUACGAAUUGGUUCAUGGUUUGUCCUCUUUGGAAAACACCAAGCUUGCUCCUAAUUAUACUACUGUAUGCCGUGCCAUGUGUUGAAAUUUCUCGGUACACUAUGGUUUAGGAUACCUUUCUGCUUAUAUUCUGAUGCUUUACCUACAGCCAACUGUUUCUACUCGAAUUCCUUUGUGGUUGAUGAGAUUCUAGAUGACGUGCUUUCUGAUUAGGUUUACUGAGGUGAGUUUGUAUGAAUUUCUUAAUGCAGCUUUUUUUUCAGUCCAAGAAGCAUUAAAAUCUUGCUUCCGUCCCAAGGGAACAUGAUGAAAGGAUGUACGCCAACUAAUCAUAUAGAUCAAUUCAAGGCAUGGCUAAAAGAAGGUUCAGCUUACACCUUAGAAAAUUCAUCGUUGCUGAUGUGCAGAAUAAAUACAGAGUAGCAGAUCAUCCUUACAGAAUCAAAAUUACUCAGUGCUCAAAAGUUCAGGAAAUCAUUCCACAACCUGAUAACCCUCCUCUAUUUUCAUAUAAUGCAACUCAUUUGAGGUCCUGCAGACACGUGCAGUCGACAAUAGUCCUGUCAGGUAUUCACUUCACUGCACAUGUGAUCGAGUGCUUAUAUUAUUUAUUAUUGUUUCUUCUUAUUUUUCUACUCUGUAUUUAUUUCUCCUCUGUUAGGUAUUCACUUCAGUGCACAUGCUAGAUUAAAUUACACACUACCGUUGCGGUACACUGAUCUUACUCUGUUUUUCCCCCAGCAAGCAGUAAGAUAUCAUCUGCAUCAUCAGACUAACCUGUUCCAACUACUCGAGACAGAGAUGAAGCACUGUCGAUGUUGUUUUUCGUUGUUAUUUUCUUUCAGCUUUCUACUAGAAGCAUUAAAUUCCCUGCUCAUUCUUCCGUUGGAGUUCCUCACAGCAAUAGGCUUAGAAUAGCAGAUACUGAAGUGCACAUACUGCUGGUCAUCCUCGCUGAGCUCUGUUAAAAUUCAUUUCUUAGAGUUUAGUGUUUGCUGAACAUAUGCAGUGCUUGGUGAGGUGUAGGUGUGUUGGUUCGCAUGUGUUCUUUUCUUUUCUCCUCUUGCAUAUUCUGCAUAUGUAUCAUGGUUUUUUGUUGCUCUGUUUUCUAGGAUCAAUUCUUUACGCAAGACGAAGAAGUUUCCACUUACUCCUUUAAUGUGUGCAGCUGUUCUUUUAGUUUUUUAGUUUUUAUUUUUUUUCGUGCAACUGUUACUUAUUAAGUUUCUCCUGCCGCUAAAUUUGAAAUGACUGGUUCCGAAGUGCAAGCACUAUCCGUGGUUUCAGCUGAAGUAUAUUGUAACUACAUGUUUUAUGUUUGUAAAUGUUGAAGUGUUGAAAUUCAUUAUUCCAGUUUGGGCA
This is a non-coding RNA of Lolium perenne, 1623 nucleotides long. The record is from RefSeq and is a predicted model, not a curated record. Lineage: Eukaryota; Viridiplantae; Streptophyta; Magnoliopsida; Poales; Poaceae.